This 253-nucleotide ribosomal RNA is filed under the name uncultured prokaryote. Its description in RNAcentral is "partial 16S ribosomal RNA". It matches the Rfam family "Bacterial small subunit ribosomal RNA", at positions 524 to 776 of the family's 1533-position model. The record is from RNAcentral.
UACAGAGGUCCCGAGCGUUGUUCGGAAUUACUGGGCGUAAAGCGCGUGUAGGCGGGUCUUUAAGUCAGGGGUGAAAUGCCAAGGCUCAACCUUGGAAUUGCCUUUGAUACUGGAGAUCUUGAGUCCGGGAGAGGUGAGUGGAACUGCGAGUGUAGAGGUGAAAUUCGUAGAUAUUCGCAAGAACACCAGUGGCGAAGGCGGCUCACUGGCCCGGAACUGACGCUGAGACGCGAAAGCGUGGGGAGCAAACAGG